GUGCUCGAGGCUGAGGGAUGCUGGUGACUCCCGGGGUCCCCAGCCCCGCCCCCAUCGGACGCCUCCACAGGCGGCGCACCCUUUCCGCCAUCCGCAGAGCAAGGCUGCCUCGGGGCGGCUCAGUCCGGCGCUUCUUACCUUACCUCCGUCUCAUCCUUAACUCACCACGAGCGUCCAGGGUCCACAUCCUCCUAAAUGGCCACUCGUCUUAAUCUCGGCGUCAGGACCCACGCGGGGUCAGGACUACCCCUCCGCUUCCAUGACUGUCUCCUCGCGGCUCCGGCUCCCACGGAGCGACCCCUCCGGGUUUUACUGACCCCGGGAUGUUGUAUCCUGGAAACUGCAGUUCCACCCAGGGGCUUGAUCUGGGUUAGUCUGGGGGCAAGUGAGCCGCCGAUUCUGUUUGGGUUUUUUUUUUUUUUUUUUUGAGACGGAGUUUCCCUCUUGUUGCCCGGGCUGGAGUGCAAUGGCGCGAAGUCGGCUCAACGCAACCUCCGCCUCCCAGGUUCAAGCGACUCUUCUGCCUCAGCCUCCCAAGUAGCUGGGACUACAGGCAUGCGCCACCACGCCAGGCUAAUUUUGUAUUUUUAGUAGAGACGGGGUUUCUCCAUGUUGGUCUGGCUGGUCUUGAACUCCCGAGCUCAGGUGAUCUGCCCGCCUCGGACUCCCAAAGUGCUGGGAUUACAGGCGUGAGCCACCAUUCCCGGGCGCUGUUUGGGUUUGUUUUUUUGUUUUUGUUUUUUACGUUCACAGCAUGGACGGUCAGUGUGAAGAUCCCAGCUGCUCGGGUCCUAGCUGGAAUUCUUCCAUUAAAAAAAUCUGUUUGUUAUGCAUGGGUUAGUUCACAGAGGAAUAGCUGGAUAAGUGCUGGCUUUUUCCCCGAUUUACCCAUUUUCAACCUAAUAAUGCAGGUUUUUGAAAUAAUGUGAAUGGUUACUGCUGGCGGAUGUUCACAGGGACACACCGGAUUCUACAGACACAUCUGAUGAUCUAGCCACGGCUGUCACUUUCCCCACUGCCGCGUUGUCCAUCACUAGGACUUUACUGCCAAUCCUUGCAAGAUAGUGGGGAACUAGAAUAACAGACAUGGGACAUUACCAGUUACAACCAAAGACAAGCUUGGCACAUUUGACUGUCCUCGUUCCUGCUCCUCCGUGCCUGGCCCUCUUCAGGCUUCUCAGCUCCUGGGGAGCGGCCAGCCAGGGAGCAUCAGCUGGUGGGAGCGAUGGGGUUGUGGGAUGGCACAAAAAAACACCAAGCGCCACUCAGAAAGGAAAUGCCGAAUGCAGACUCUCACUCAGUCGGUGUGGGGGCCAGGACCCUGUCUCUACCAAGUGUGCGGGAGCUGCCCCUGGCCGGGAGCUCCCAGACCCCACUGCAGAGCCGCAGCUCCAGUUGUCCCAGGGGCGACUACUCAGGUGUCCAUCGCCAUGCACAUGUGACACAGAAAAGGGUGAGGCGAGGAGGGGGAACGCUGGAAAUUGUUUCACGGAAAAGGGCGAGGCAAGGGAGGGGAACACUGGAACUUGUGCUUUGGGUAGGCGAUAGCUAAGGAUUCUCUCUCGUCUGGGUCACGGAGAUUGUGCAGCCACAGAACACCUGGUGUCAUCAGGGCCUGAGCUCCUCCCUUCUACAAAGACCUCUGGUCUGCAGGCCUGCAGGUACAGUGCUGUGGGCCACAAGGCACUGCCUGUCGUAUUCAUCUCCACUCUCUAGCACAUCUGGCCUCACGCCACCCCCGGGAGGCCGGCAGGCAGAUAUCAGCUCCACUUCCCAGAUAAGCAAGGGAGCCAGGUACUACCCAGGGUCUUGGGGGCCACACCGCUGGCGAGGGACAGGCUGGGCCUGGCAGACAGCACUGGCAGUCGGUGAAGUGCCCACCUCAGUGUCAGCCUCAGGUCCUGACCCUGGAGGCUGCUGUUACUGAGCUGUGGGGACCAGGAUGCCCUACCAUGAUGGAGACCCAAGCCUCUCUCAUGAUGACUAUUCCCAAGGGCACUGCAGAGGGGAGGAGCUGUCUCCUCCUCCGUGUGGCCCACGCAGAGCUGGUGCAGGUCUGAGUGAGCUCACCAAGACAGGCCAAUCCCAGCCCCAGACUCCAAAGCAUCCCCAAGAGGUCAGGGAGAGGCUCUGUGCCCCUGACCCCAAGGAUAUGCACAGGUCACAAGGCAGAGCCCCCGCUAGACAGCAGGAGCACCCUGCUCUGUCAGCCUGCUUCCCCAGGACGGAGGCCCUGGUGGUAAGGCAGGCAGGUCUUGAGCCCCCACAAGACAGCAGGAUACAACAUAACCCUUUUUAAUCUGAAGUGUAGACUUCAUCCUCACGUUAGAAAACUCCAUCUUUUUUUUAAUCCCUAAGUUCUUUAUCAAACCUUUAUGUUAAAGAUAUAAAUAAGUCUCAUAC
Molecule: long non-coding RNA, 2403 nt
Filed under: Homo sapiens (human)
Lineage: Eukaryota; Metazoa; Chordata; Mammalia; Primates; Hominidae
Description: non-protein coding lnc-ICOSLG-9:1
Source: RNAcentral